UGAGGAUGGCGGACGGGUGAGUAACGCGUAAGGAACUUGCCUCUUGGACUGGGACAACUGUUGGAAACGACAGCUAAUACCAGAUAUUAUGAGAUUCUCGCAUGAGAAAUUUAUGAAAGCUAUAUGCGCCAAGAGAGAGCCUUGCGUUCCAUUAGCUAGUUGGUGGGGUAACGGCCCACCAAGGCGACGAUGGAUAGCCGGCCUGAGAGGGUGAACGGCCACAAGGGGACUGAGACACGGCCCUUACUCCUACGGGAGGCAGCAGUGGGGAAUAUUGGACAAUGGGCCACAAGCCUGAUCCAGCAAUUCUGUGUGCACGAUGAAGGUCUUCGGAUUGUAAAGUGCUUUCAGUUGGGAAGAAGAAAGUGACGGUACCAACAGAAGAAGCGACGGCUAAAUACGUGCCAGCAGCCGCGGUAAUACGUAUGUCGCAAGCGUUAUCCGGAUUUAUUGGGCGUAAAGCGCGUCUAGGCGGAAAAAUAAGUCUGAUGUUAAAAUGCGGGGCUCAACUCCGUAUUGCGUUGGAAACUGUUUUUCUAGAGUACUGGAGAGGUGGGCGGAACUACAAGUGUAGAGGUGAAAUUCGUAGAUAUUUGUAGGAAUGCCGAUGGAGAAGUCAGCUCACUGGACAGAUACUGACGCUGAA
Molecule: ribosomal RNA, 646 nt
Filed under: uncultured bacterium
Lineage: Bacteria
Description: bacterial SSU rRNA
Rfam family: Bacterial small subunit ribosomal RNA
Source: RNAcentral